RNAcentral lists this small nuclear RNA (118 nucleotides) under Moschus moschiferus (Siberian musk deer). RNAcentral describes it as "U5 spliceosomal RNA (ENSMMSG00000010365.1)". It matches the Rfam family "U5 spliceosomal RNA". From Rfam's summary of the family: U5 RNA is a component of both types of known spliceosome. Lineage: Eukaryota; Metazoa; Chordata; Mammalia; Artiodactyla; Moschidae. The record is from Rfam by way of RNAcentral.
AUCCUCUGGUUUCUCUUCAGAUCGUAUAAAUCUUUCGCCUUUUACUAAAGAUUUCCGUGGAGAGAAACAAUUUUGAGUUGUUAAACUAAUUUUUGGAGGUCUUGCCUUUGGCAAGGCC